RNAcentral lists this ribosomal RNA (497 nucleotides) under uncultured bacterium. RNAcentral's name for it is "partial 16S ribosomal RNA". It matches the Rfam family "Bacterial small subunit ribosomal RNA", at positions 28 to 507 of the family's 1533-position model. The record is from RNAcentral.
GAUGAACGCUGGCGGCGUGCCUAAUACAUGCCAGUCGAGCGAACAGAUGAGGAGCUUGCUCCUCUGACGUUAGCGGCGGACGGGUGAGUAACACGUGGAUAACCUACCUAUAAGACUGGGAUAACUUCGGGAAACCGGAGCUAAUACCGGAUAAUAUAUUGAACCGCAUGGUUCAAUAGUGAAAGACGGUUUUGCUGUCACUUAUAGAUGGAUCCGCGCCGCAUUAGCUAGUUGGUAAGGUAACGGCUUACCAAGGCAACGAUGCGUAGCCGACCUGAGAGUGUGAUCGGCCACACUGGAACUGAGACACGGUCCAGACUCCUACGGGAGGCAGCAGUAGGGAAUCUUCCGCAAUGGGCGAAAGCCUGACGGAGCAACGCCGCGUGAGUGAUGAAGGUCUUCGGAUCGUAAAACUCUGUUAUUAGGGAAGAACAAAUGUGUAAGUAACUAUGCACGUCUUGACGGUACCUAAUCAGAAAGCCACGGCUAACUACGUG